GAUGAACGCUGGCGGCGUGCCUAAUACAUGCAAGUCGAGCGAACAGACGAGGAGCUUGCUCCUCUGACGUUAGCGGCGGACGGGUGAGUAACACGUGGAUAACCUACCUAUAAGACUGGGAUAACUUCGGGAAACCGGAGCUAAUACCGGAUAAUAUAUUGAACCGCAUGGUUCAAUAGUGAAAGACGGUUUUGCUGUCACUUAUAGAUGGAUCCGCGCCGCAUUAGCUAGUUGGUAAGGUAACGGCUUACCAAGGCAACGAUGCGUAGCCGACCUGAGAGGGUGAUCGGCCACACUGGAACUGAGACACGGUCCAGACUCCUACGGGAGGCAGUAGUAGGGAAUCUUCCGCAAUGGGCGAAAGCCUGACGGAGCAACGCCGCGUGAGUGAUGAAGGGCUUCGGAUCGUAAAACUCUGUUAUUAGGGAAGAACAAAUGUGUAAGUAACUAUGCACGUCUUGACGGUACCUAAUCAGAAAGCCACGGCUAACUACGUG
RNAcentral lists this ribosomal RNA (497 nucleotides) under uncultured bacterium. RNAcentral's name for it is "partial 16S ribosomal RNA". It matches the Rfam family "Bacterial small subunit ribosomal RNA", at positions 28 to 507 of the family's 1533-position model. The record is from RNAcentral.